RNAcentral lists this ribosomal RNA (159 nucleotides) under Wettsteinina lacustris. RNAcentral's name for it is "5.8S ribosomal RNA". It matches the Rfam family "5.8S ribosomal RNA". From Rfam's summary of the family: 5.8S ribosomal RNA (5.8S rRNA) is a component of the large subunit of the eukaryotic ribosome. It is transcribed by RNA polymerase I as part of the 45S precursor that also contains 18S and 28S rRNA. Lineage: Eukaryota; Fungi; Ascomycota; Dothideomycetes; Pleosporales. The record is from RNAcentral.
UACAACUUUCAACAAUGGAUCUCUUGGUUCUGGCAUCGAUGAAGAACGCAGCGAAAUGCGAUAAGUAGUGUGAAUUGCAGAAUUCAGUGAAUCAUCGAAUCUUUGAACGCACAUUGCGCCCCUUGGUAUUCCAUGGGGCAUGCCUGUUCGAGCGUCAUC